AUAUCUUUGCUUGCAUUUACUGCGGAUACUGGCAGCUCUUCAUCUGUCCAACUGAAUAUUUACUUUUACUCUAUAGAGUGAAUUGGAUUCCGCUCAGUUAAUACUGGCAGAAAGAUAACACACUAUAAAUACGUUAAGUUAUUCCCCAAUCUGGUACGUGAAAAAAGCGGUCAGCGCAAUGCAUUUGAUAGAUACAACAAAAACAGACGGCGGAGCACAAAAUCUGACCUUUGCGAUAAAUUCUGAUUGCAGUUCUUUUUCGGACGGGAUCAACUUUGAUGUUAAGCUUAUUCAGCAUGACUUGAGAAUCGUGUCUGCAAACAACGGUUGUACGAUUUCAGAGACAUGAAAUAUGCUGGUUUAUCAUCACUACCUAACAAGAAAUCACAGUAGUCAGUGGAUUUUGCUCAGUUUGAAAAAAGUCGCCAGCUUUCAUGUCCAACUCAAAUUCUUCAGCAAACCAGCGAACUAUCCGUACAAAAUUGUUGGGCUGUAUUGUUUGCUGUAUCAAUAUAUAUGUAUGUAAAUGGUUCGGAUCAAUUUUUGGAACUAGAUAACGAUACUUAUCGAAUACGAUCCAUUGGAUUCACCACUAAAUCUACUAACCGAUAAGAUUACAGUCUGGUAACGAAUGGUAAUAUAACGAGUUAUCAAUUAUUCAAUUACCCAGAUAACACAAAAUCGUAAUAGAAAGUUCACAUUAAAUCGUU
Molecule: long non-coding RNA, 710 nt
Organism: Sabethes cyaneus
Lineage: Eukaryota; Metazoa; Arthropoda; Insecta; Diptera; Culicidae
Exons: 3
Source: RefSeq, a predicted model, not a curated record